GGGUUAGUAGGUUGGUCAUGCCUCUGGUAUGUACUGGUCUCACUGAUUCCUCCUUCCUGAUGAGCCGUAAUGCCAUUAAUUUGGUGUUGCGGGGAAUUUGGACUGUUACUUUGAAAAAAUUAGAGUGUUUAAAGCAGGCGUUAGCUUGAAUACAUUAGCAUGGAAUAAUAAAGUAGGACGUGCGGUUCUAUUUUGUUGGUUUCUAGAGUCGCCGUA
Molecule: ribosomal RNA, 216 nt
Filed under: Campeiostachys nutans
Lineage: Eukaryota; Viridiplantae; Streptophyta; Magnoliopsida; Poales; Poaceae
Description: Elymus nutans partial small subunit ribosomal RNA
Rfam family: Eukaryotic small subunit ribosomal RNA (bases 40-216)
Source: RNAcentral